Molecule: unclassified non-coding RNA, 313 nt
Filed under: Hevea brasiliensis (rubber tree)
Lineage: Eukaryota; Viridiplantae; Streptophyta; Magnoliopsida; Malpighiales; Euphorbiaceae
Source: RNAcentral
GCAGGAUCUUCACAUCAUCGUUACUUUUUGCGGAUGUAAAGUCUGAUAAGUCACUGAAAGAAAAAGCUCUUUCGGAACAUGGUCGGGAUAAAUACUUAUCUGGUCCUUCAAGAUAACUCCUGGAUACCAUUUCUGCUAUCUCAGAUUCACAAACUACCCUCCCAAUGUCAUUGGUUCUCUCUUUGAUUCCAAAAUAGGUUUCAGAUCCUUCCUUUUCUGAAUCAGAAUUCUCUGGAGAAUGGGAAGCCACCAUCAAGGAUUCUUUAACAAGCCCAUGCCUAGCAAUACUAUACCGUAUAAGGAUCCCUAUCAA